This 1533-nucleotide long non-coding RNA is filed under the name Gossypium barbadense (sea-island cotton). Its description in RNAcentral is "long non-coding RNA (GBAR_LNC000933)". Lineage: Eukaryota; Viridiplantae; Streptophyta; Magnoliopsida; Malvales; Malvaceae. The record is from RNAcentral.
UUUUCAGAGCCACUAAUCAGUUUCCCAAUGGUUGUUCGCAGCGAUUUUCUUACUUGAGAUCCUUUACCAUUUGCCGUUCUGGACUCUGUAGAAAUUACUGUUUGCAUGAGAUUCUGUAUGUCAUUUCUAGAGUAUACUUUAGGCUCAGGUGUACUAGGUAGCUCAAGUCUAGGAAUUUGUGUUCGACAAUCAGUCUUUAGUGCUUGCUUUUGGAAGGAUGAACUAGUAGGGCUUUGAUGAGGCUUAGAAUGAUAAGCCUCCAUCACUGAGCUGCCGUUGCUGAGAUUCCCAAACUGUUUUGUAACUGCUUCUUCAUCUUGAAACUGACUGUAUUUCUGUACGGAUACUGUGCUAGCAUGUAAAGACCUACUAACAUCUGCUGAUACUUUUAUCUGACUAUUGUCCUCAUUUCUUGAGCCUUCCGAGCUCAACCUCCUUGCCCGAGUUAUAGAAGAUGGAAUUUUUGGUCCUCUCCUGUCUUCUGCAUUCAUUGCCUUCUCAGAUUUCAUGGUGCUACCAUUCUCAAUGCUCAACCUUCGAGUACGUGGGGGAGUUUUCGCAAUCGCUGCCAUUUGUUUCUCAAAUGGAGAUUUAGGUUCUUUCAUUUUGUAUGAAGGUGUGCUCGGUGCUUCCUUAUUUGCCAAUGCUGAUCCUUUACCAUUUGCCGUUCUGGACCCUGUAGAAAUUACUGUUUGCAUGAGAUUCUGUAUGUCAUUUCUAGAGUAUACUUUAGGCUCAGGUGUACUAGGUAGCUCAAGUCUAGGAAUUUGUGUUCGACAAUCAGUCUUUAGUGCUUGCUUUUGGAAGGAUGAACUAGUAGGGCUUUGAUGAGGCUUAGAAUGAUAAGCCUCCAUCACUGAGCUGCCGUUGCUGAGAUUCCCAAAUUGUUUUGUAACUGCUUCUUCAUCUUGAAACUGACUGUAUUUCUGUACGGAUACUGUGCUAGCAUGUAAAGACCUACUAACAUCUGCUGAUACUUUUAUCUGACUAUUGUCCUCAUUUCUUGAGCCUUCCGAGCUCAACCUCCUUGCCCGAGUUAUAGAAGAUGGAAUUUUUGGUCCUCUCCUGUCUUCUGCAUUCAUUGCCUUCUCAGAUUUCAUGGUGCUACCAUUCUCAAUGCUCAACCUUCGAGUACGUGGGGGAGUUUUCGCAAUCGCUGCCAUUUGUUUCUCAAAUGGAGAUUUAGGUUCUUUCAUUUUGUAUGAAGGUGUGCUCGGUGCUUCCUUAUUUGCCAAUGCUGAUCCUUUACCAUUUGCCGUUCUGGACCCUGUAGAAAUUACUGUUUGCAUGAGAUUCUGUAUGUCAUUUCUAGAGUAUACUUUAGGCUCAGGUGUACUAGGUAGCUCAAGUCUAGGAAUUUGUGUUCGACAAUCAGUCUUUAGUGCUUGCUUUUGGAAGGAUGAACUAGUAGGGCUUUGAUGAGGCUUAGAAUGAUAAGCCUCCAUCACUGAGCUGCCGUUGCUGAGAUUCCCAAAUUGUUUUGUAACUGCUUCUUCAUCUUGAAACUGACUGUAUUUCUGUACGGAUACUGUG